This 692-nucleotide ribosomal RNA is filed under the name Bacillus altitudinis. RNAcentral's name for it is "bacterial SSU rRNA". It matches the Rfam family "Bacterial small subunit ribosomal RNA", at positions 417 to 1100 of the family's 1533-position model. Lineage: Bacteria; Bacillati; Bacillota; Bacilli; Caryophanales; Bacillaceae. The record is from RNAcentral.
UUCGGAUCGUAAAGCUCUGUUGUUAGGGAAGAACAAGUGCAAGAGUAACUGCUUGCACCUUGACGGUACCUAACCAGAAAGCCACGGCUAACUACGUGCCAGCAGCCGCGGUAAUACGUAGGUGGCAAGCGUUGUCCGGAAUUAUUGGGCGUAAAGGGCUCGCAGGCGGUUUCUUAAGUCUGAUGUGAAAGCCCCCGGCUCAACCGGGGAGGGUCAUUGGAAACUGGGAAACUUGAGUGCAGAAGAGGAGAGUGGAAUUCCACGUGUAGCGGUGAAAUGCGUAGAGAUGUGGAGGAACACCAGUGGCGAAGGCGACUCUCUGGUCUGUAACUGACGCUGAGGAGCGAAAGCGUGGGGAGCGAACAGGAUUAGAUACCCUGGUAGUCCACGCCGUAAACGAUGAGUGCUAAGUGUUAGGGGGUUUCCGCCCCUUAGUGCUGCAGCUAACGCAUUAAGCACUCCGCCUGGGGAGUACGGUCGCAAGACUGAAACUCAAAGGAAUUGACGGGGGCCCGCACAAGCGGUGGAGCAUGUGGUUUAAUUCGAAGCAACGCGAAGAACCUUACCAGGUCUUGACAUCCUCUGACAACCCUAGAGAUAGGGCUUUCCCUUCGGGGACAGAGUGACAGGUGGUGCAUGGUUGUCGUCAGCUCGUGUCGUGAGAUGUUGGGUUAAGUCCCGCAACGAGCGCA